Molecule: ribosomal RNA, 496 nt
Filed under: uncultured Lachnospiraceae bacterium
Lineage: Bacteria; Bacillati; Bacillota; Clostridia; Lachnospirales; Lachnospiraceae
Description: bacterial SSU rRNA
Rfam family: Bacterial small subunit ribosomal RNA
Source: RNAcentral
AGUUGUAUCCUGGCGUCAGGAUGAACGCUGGCGGCGUGCUUAACACAUGCAAGUCGAGCGAAGCACUCUGUUUGAUUUUUCGGUAAUGAAACAGUUUGACUGAGCGGCGGACGGGUGAGUAACGCGUGGGGAACCUGCCUUACACAGGGGGAUAACAGUUAGAAAUGGCUGCUAAUACCGCAUAACCCGCUGGGGUCGCAUGACUCUGACGGAAAGAUUGUAUCGGUGUAAGAUGGACCCGCGUCUGAUUAGCUGGUUGGUGAGGUAACGGCUCACCAAGGCGACGAUCAGUAGCCGACCUGAGAGGGUGAUCGGCCACAUUGGGACUGAGACACGGCCCAAACUCCUACGGGAGGCAGCAGUGGGGAAUAUUGCACAAUGGGGGAAACCCUGAUGCAGCAACGCCGCGUGAGUGAAGAAGUAUUUCGGUAUGUAAAGCUCUAUCAGCAGGGAAGAAAUUGACAGUACCUGACUAAGAAGCCCCGGCUAACUACGU